CUGGGACCUCCAUUGAUGUAGUUGGAUGAGUUGAGUUGGCAACUGGCAAUCUUAUCAGAGACCAUCUACCUUCCAUCCUCAGUACCCGUUGGUUGAUCCCAUCUCAAGAUUGAAGUACAAGAAUUCUGAAUUAAAACUUUGUCUCAGUGACAUUUCUCCUGCAAAGGCUGACCAAUGGUGGAGGGGAGGGCCACCCGAACUCUGUCUCCUUCCAAGAUCCUGGAAGACCCUAGCAAUGUGUACAUGUGUCAUCUCUAUCUGUAAAAUCAUCAAAAGAAAGAUAAUUUAACAACAAUAGUGGUGGAGAGGGGCAGAAAAAAUACCUUAAAAAAAAAAAAAAAGAAUCUUAAGAAGGCUCCUCAUCCAGCACCGAGCCCCAUGCAGGCCUCAUUCCAUGACCCUAAGAUCAUGACCUGAGCUGAAAUCAAGAGUCAGACGCUUAACUGACUGAGCCACUCAGGCACCCUGGUAAUGGCUUUUUAAUAUGAACAAAAGUAGAAGUGGCAAAAGAAGAAAAAUAGAUAAAUUGAACUUAUAAACUUUUGUGCUUCAGAGGACAACAUCAAAAAAAUUUGUAUAAAAACUACAGAAUGGGAGAAAAUAUUCAGAGAAAAUCAUAUAUCUUAUA
Molecule: long non-coding RNA, 628 nt
Organism: Canis lupus familiaris (dog)
Lineage: Eukaryota; Metazoa; Chordata; Mammalia; Carnivora; Canidae
Exons: 4
Source: RefSeq, a predicted model, not a curated record